GAUGAAGAACGCAGCGAAAUGCGAUAAGUAAUGUGAAUUGCAGAAUUCAGUGAAUCAUCGAAUCUUUGAACGCACAUUGCGCCCGCCAGUAUUCUGGCGGGCAUGCCUGUUCGAGCGUCAUUUCAACCAUCAAGCCCCCGGCUUGUGUUGGGGCCCUGCGGCUGCCGCAGGCCCUGAAAACCAGUGGCGGGCUCGCUAGUCACUCCGAGCGUAGUAGUUACAUCUCGCUCAGGGCGUGCUGCGGGUUCCGGCCGUUAAAAGCCUUAUUUACCCAAGGUUGACCUCGGAUCAGGUAGGAAGACCCGCUGAACUUAAGCAUAUCAAUAAGCGGAGGA
RNAcentral lists this unclassified non-coding RNA (335 nucleotides) under soil metagenome. RNAcentral describes it as "partial contains 5.8S ribosomal RNA, internal transcribed spacer 2, and large subunit ribosomal RNA". The stretch from base 1 to 120 matches the Rfam family "5.8S ribosomal RNA", at positions 35 to 154 of the family's 154-position model. The record is from RNAcentral.